GACGUAGGGUCCAAGCGUUGUCCGGAAUUACUGGGCGUAAAGCGCGUGUAGGCUGCGGAGUAAGUCGGAUGUGAAAUCCCUUGGCUUAACCAAGGAAGUGCAUCCGAUACUGUUUCGCUUGAGUGUCGGAGGGGAUGGCGGAAUUCCCGGUGUAGAGGUGAAAUUCGUAGAUAUCGGGAGGAACACCUGUGGCGAAGGCGGCUCUCUGGGACGGUACUGACGCUGAGACGCGAAAGCGUGGGGAGCGAACAGG
RNAcentral lists this ribosomal RNA (253 nucleotides) under uncultured bacterium. Its description in RNAcentral is "partial 16S ribosomal RNA". It matches the Rfam family "Bacterial small subunit ribosomal RNA", at positions 524 to 776 of the family's 1533-position model. The record is from RNAcentral.